AGUGAACGCUGGCGGUAGGCCUAACACAUGCAAGUCGAACGGCAGCACAGUAAGAGCUUGCUCUUACGGGUGGCGAGUGGCGGACGGGUGAGGAAUACAUCGGAAUCUACUUUUUCGUGGGGGAUAACGUAGGGAAACUUACGCUAAUACCUCAUACGACCUACGGGUGAAAGCAGGGGAUCUUCGGACCUUGCGCGAUUGAAUGAGCCGGUGUCGGAUUAGCUAGUUGGCGGGGUAAAGGCCCACCAAGGCGAUGAUACGUAGCUGGCCUGAGAGGGUGGGCGGCCACAUUGGGACGGAGACACGGACAAGACCCCUACGGGAGGCAGCAGUAGGGAAUCUUCGGCAAUGGACGAAAGUCUGACCGAGCAACGCCGCGUGAGUGAAGAAGGUUUUCGGAUCGUAAAACUCUGUUGGUAGAGAAGAACGUUGGUGAGAGUGGAAAGCUCAUCAAGUGACGGUAACUACCCAGAAAGGGACGGCUAACUACGUG
This 493-nucleotide ribosomal RNA is filed under the name uncultured bacterium. RNAcentral describes it as "partial 16S ribosomal RNA". It matches the Rfam family "Bacterial small subunit ribosomal RNA", at positions 29 to 507 of the family's 1533-position model. The record is from RNAcentral.